Molecule: ribosomal RNA, 479 nt
Filed under: uncultured bacterium
Lineage: Bacteria
Description: partial 16S ribosomal RNA
Rfam family: Bacterial small subunit ribosomal RNA
Source: RNAcentral
GAUGAACGCUAGCGGGAGGCCUAACACAUGCAAGCCGAGCGGUAGAGUCUCUUCGGAGACUUGAGAGCGGCGCACGGGUGCGGAACACGUGUGCAACCUGCCUUUAUCUGGGGGAUAGCCUUUCGAAGGGAAGAUUAAUACCCCAUAAUAUACUGGAUGGCAUCAUCUGGUAUUGAAAACUCCGGUGGAUAGAGAUGGGCACGCGCAAGAUUAGAUAGUUGGUGAGGUAACGGCUCACCAAGUCAGCGAUCUUUAGGGGGCCUGAGAGGGUGAUCCCCCACACUGGUACUGAGACACGGACCAGACUCCUACGGGAGGCAGCAGUGAGGAAUAGUGGACAAUGGGUGAGAGCCUGAUCCAGCCAGCCCGCGUGAAGGACGACGGCCCUAUGGGUUGUAAACUUCUUUUGUAUAGGGAUAAACCUAGAUACGUGUAUCUAGCUGAAGGUACUAUACGAAUAAGCACCGGCUAACUCCGUG